Molecule: transfer RNA, 107 nt
Filed under: Ceratocystis platani
Lineage: Eukaryota; Fungi; Ascomycota; Sordariomycetes; Microascales; Ceratocystidaceae
Rfam family: tRNA
About the family: Transfer RNA (tRNA) molecules are approximately 80 nucleotides in length. Their secondary structure includes four short double-helical elements and three loops (D, anti-codon, and T loops). Further hydrogen bonds mediate the characteristic L-shaped molecular structure. tRNAs have two regions of fundamental functional importance: the anti-codon, which is responsible for specific mRNA codon recognition, and the 3' end, to which the tRNAs corresponding amino acid is attached (by aminoacyl-tRNA synthetases). tRNAs cope with the degeneracy of the genetic code in two manners: having more than one tRNA (with a specific anti-codon) for a particular amino acid; and 'wobble' base-pairing, i.e. permitting non-standard base-pairing at the 3rd anti-codon position.
Source: Rfam by way of RNAcentral
UCCUCUGUGGCGCAAUUGGCUAGCGCGUCUGACUGUUAAUCAUCUUCAUAUCUUGAUAUUAAGAUGCAGCGAUCAGGAGGUUGACAGUUCAAGCCUGUCCGGAGGAG